AGUUUGUUUUAGUUCAAUAAAAAAAUCCAAGUGAGACCCACAGAAGAAAGAGCCACUAAAGGAGUGACAUCAAGGUUUUGUUGCUGAAAAAUUGAAGAAGACAACCUCUGAGGUGGUCUCGCAGACUUCGACUGUUGCUGAAUCGAAGAACCAUGUUUAGUACAGUUAGAUUGCAGGCGACGUUGUGCGAGAGGGAUUCAAUGCUCUUUUGAUUUGGGCCUCUAAUCUCUAACUUAAAUGAAAACAAGUGUUUGCAAGUGUUCCAAACAAGGUGUUUGAAGUGUAUGGGGAGAAUGCUUGCAACAACGAAGGAAAGAACGAUGUGGAUUCAAAUUCAAAUCAGCAGCUCUGGGGGACAAAUUUAACGUUAUGUAUGAUGUUCAAAUUAUCUAUAAACAUUAUAACUUAUUUACCUCCUAAAGCUCCUAACAGUUAUGUAUUUAUUAUGUGUUCAAAGUUCUUUGGUUUCAUUUGAAGUUC
This is a non-coding RNA of Lactuca sativa (garden lettuce), 480 nucleotides long. The record is from RefSeq and is a predicted model, not a curated record. Lineage: Eukaryota; Viridiplantae; Streptophyta; Magnoliopsida; Asterales; Asteraceae.